Molecule: ribosomal RNA, 440 nt
Filed under: uncultured bacterium
Lineage: Bacteria
Description: partial 16S ribosomal RNA
Rfam family: Bacterial small subunit ribosomal RNA
Source: RNAcentral
CCUACGGGAGGCAGCAGUGGGGAAUAUUGCACAAUGGGGGGAACCCUGAUGCAGCGAUGCCGCGUGGGUGAAGGAGGACUUCGGUAUGUAAAGCUCUAUCAGCCGGGAAGAAAAUGACGGUACCUGACUAAGAAGCCACGGCUAACUACGUGCCAGCAGUCGCGGUAAUACGUAGGGGGCGAGCGUUAUCCGGAUUUACUGGGUGUAAAGGGAGUGUAGACGGGAGUGCAAGUCCGAAGUGAAAGCCCGGGGCUUAACCCAGAGACUGCUCUGGAAACUGCAAAGCUUGAGUGAAGGAGAGGCAGGCGGAAUUCCUGGUGUAGCGGUGAAAUGCGUAGAUAUCAGGAGGAACACCGGCGGCGAAGGCGGCUUGCUGGACCGUAACUGACGCUGAGGCUCGAAAGCGUGGGGAGCAAACAGGAUUAGAUACCCGGGUAGUC